RNAcentral lists this ribosomal RNA (301 nucleotides) under uncultured bacterium. RNAcentral describes it as "partial 16S ribosomal RNA". It matches the Rfam family "Bacterial small subunit ribosomal RNA", at positions 509 to 807 of the family's 1533-position model. The record is from RNAcentral.
CAGUAGCCACGGUAAUACAGAGGGUGCGAGCGUUAAUCGGAUUUACUGGGCGUAAAGCGUGCGUAGGCGGCUUCUUAAGUCGGAUGUGAAAUCCCUGAGCUUAACUUAGGAAUUGCAUUCGAUACUGGGAAGCUAGAGUAUGGGAGAGGAUGGUAGAAUUCCAGGUGUAGCGGUGAAAUGCGUAGAGAUCUGGAGGAAUACCGAUGGCGAAGGCAGCCAUCUGGCCUAAUACCGACGCUGAGGUACGAAAGCAUGGGGAGCAAACAGGAUUAGAUACCCGUGUAGUCCCUGUCUCUUAUAC